AUUGAACGCUGGCGGCAGGCCUAACACAUGCAAGUCGAACGAGUGGCGGACGGGUGAGUAAUGUCUGGGAAACUGCCCGAUGGAGGGGGAUAACUCCUGGAAACGGUAGCUAAUACCGCAUACCAUCGGAUGUGCCCAGAUGGGAUUAGUUAGUAGGUGGGGUAACGGCUCACCUAGGCGACGAUCCCUAGCUGGUCUGAGAGGAUGACCAGCCACACUGGAACUGAGACACGGUCCAGAGUCCUACGGGAGGCAGCAGUGGGGAAUAUUGCACAAUGGGCGCAAGCCUGAUGCAGCAAUGCCGCGUGUAUGAAGAAGGCCGUCGGGUUGUAAAGUACUUGCAGCGAGGAGGCGUUACUCGCAGAAGAAGCACCGGCUAACUCCGUGCCAGAAGCCGCGGUAAUUC
This 406-nucleotide ribosomal RNA is filed under the name uncultured bacterium. RNAcentral's name for it is "partial 16S ribosomal RNA". It matches the Rfam family "Bacterial small subunit ribosomal RNA", at positions 30 to 526 of the family's 1533-position model. The record is from RNAcentral.